GACGAACGCUGGCGGCGUGCUUAACACAUGCAAGUCGAACGCUGAAGCUUGGUGCUUGCACUGGGUGGAUGAGUGGCGAACGGGUGGGUAAUACGUGAGUAACCUGCCCUUGACUCUGGGAUAAGCCUGGGAAACUGGGUCUAAUACUGGAUACGACAUGUCACCGCAUGGUGGUGUGUGGAAAGGGUUUUACUGGUUUUGGAUGGGCUCACGGCCUAUCAGCUUGUUGGUGGGGUAAUGGCUCACCAAGGCGACGACGGGUAGCCGGCCUGAGAGGGUGACCGGCCACACUGGGACUGAGACACGGCCCGGACUCCUACGGGAGGCAGCAGUGGGGAAUAUUGCACAAUGGGCGGAAGCCUGAUGCAGCGACGCCGCGUGAGGGAUGACGGCCUUCGGGUUGUAAACCUCUUUCAGCACGGAAGAAGCGAAAGUGACGGUACGUGCAGAAGAAGCGCCGGCUAACUACGUG
RNAcentral lists this ribosomal RNA (472 nucleotides) under uncultured bacterium. RNAcentral describes it as "partial 16S ribosomal RNA". It matches the Rfam family "Bacterial small subunit ribosomal RNA", at positions 28 to 507 of the family's 1533-position model. The record is from RNAcentral.